GUUUUGUUGAUAUUGGUGUCAGAUCAUGAGAUACCCAGGUCAGGCGACACAUGAGAGAAUUUGCCGUGCUUUUUCUUCUACUCCAUUGGAUUACACCACUUGGUUUUCACAUGUAUCUACAGAAUGUCAGCGUUAAGCUAUCUCAGCACAACGCAUGGACAUGAGGAAAGCUUUGUCGACGCCAAUAGCCACACACUACCUCAUUGAC
Long non-coding RNA from Dioscorea cayenensis subsp. rotundata (Guinea yam), 208 nucleotides. RefSeq lists it as uncharacterized. The transcript has 3 exons. The record is from RefSeq and is a predicted model, not a curated record. Lineage: Eukaryota; Viridiplantae; Streptophyta; Magnoliopsida; Dioscoreales; Dioscoreaceae.